Molecule: ribosomal RNA, 425 nt
Filed under: uncultured bacterium
Lineage: Bacteria
Description: bacterial SSU rRNA
Rfam family: Bacterial small subunit ribosomal RNA
Source: RNAcentral
GUGGGGAAUAUUGGACAAUGGGCGCAAGCCUGAUCCAGCCAUGCCGCGUGAGUGAUGAAGGCCCUAGGGUUGUAAAGCUCUUUCACCGGAGAAGAUAAUGACGGUAUCCGGAGAAGAAGCCCCGGCUAACUUCGUGCCAGCAGCCGCGGUAAUACGAAGGGGGCUAGCGUUGUUCGGAAUUACUGGGCGUAAAGCGCACGUAGGUGGACAUUUAAGUCAGGGGUGAAAUCCCGGAGCUCAACUCCGGAACUGCCUUUGAUACUGGGUGUCUGGAGUAUGGAAGAGGUGAGUGGAAUUCCGAGUGUAGAGGUGAAAUUCGUAGAUAUUCGGAGGAACACCAGUGGCGAAGGCGGCUCACUGGUCCAUUACUGACGCUGAGGUGCGAAAGCGUGGGGAGCAAACAGGAUUAGAAACCCUUGUAGUCC